Molecule: transfer RNA, 73 nt
Filed under: Stegodyphus mimosarum
Lineage: Eukaryota; Metazoa; Arthropoda; Arachnida; Araneae; Eresidae
Description: tRNA-Ala for anticodon UGC
Rfam family: tRNA
About the family: Transfer RNA (tRNA) molecules are approximately 80 nucleotides in length. Their secondary structure includes four short double-helical elements and three loops (D, anti-codon, and T loops).
Source: Rfam by way of RNAcentral
GCCUUCGUGGUGUAAUGGUCAGCAUGCUCGACGUGCAACCGAGAGGUCCAUGGUUCGAUUCCCUGCGAAGGCA